AUCCCAUCGAGACCGGCUGAGGGGGUAGGCCCAAUGACGCCGGGGCAACCCAUGCACGAGCAAUCGCGCAUGAAGGUGCCAAUUCCUGCGGGGACUUCGUGUCCGCCGAGAGAUGGGUC
This 119-nucleotide non-coding RNA is filed under the name Arenimonas malthae. Its description in RNAcentral is "SAM-I sequence". It matches the Rfam family "SAM riboswitch aptamer (S box leader)". From Rfam's summary of the family: The SAM riboswitch is found upstream of a number of genes which code for proteins involved in methionine or cysteine biosynthesis in Gram-positive bacteria. The SAM riboswitch acts at the level of transcription termination control. The predicted structure consists of a complex stem-loop region followed by a single stem loop terminator region. The record is from RNAcentral. Lineage: Bacteria; Pseudomonadati; Pseudomonadota; Gammaproteobacteria; Lysobacterales; Lysobacteraceae.